Molecule: transfer RNA, 77 nt
Filed under: Alphaproteobacteria bacterium
Lineage: Bacteria; Pseudomonadati; Pseudomonadota; Alphaproteobacteria
Description: tRNA-Arg
Rfam family: tRNA
About the family: Transfer RNA (tRNA) molecules are approximately 80 nucleotides in length. Their secondary structure includes four short double-helical elements and three loops (D, anti-codon, and T loops). Further hydrogen bonds mediate the characteristic L-shaped molecular structure. tRNAs have two regions of fundamental functional importance: the anti-codon, which is responsible for specific mRNA codon recognition, and the 3' end, to which the tRNAs corresponding amino acid is attached (by aminoacyl-tRNA synthetases). tRNAs cope with the degeneracy of the genetic code in two manners: having more than one tRNA (with a specific anti-codon) for a particular amino acid; and 'wobble' base-pairing, i.e. permitting non-standard base-pairing at the 3rd anti-codon position.
Source: RNAcentral
GCGCUCUUAGCUCAGCUGGAUAGAGCACCUGCCUUCUAAGCAGGGGGUCGGAAGUUCGAAUCUUCCAGAGCGCGCCA